This 439-nucleotide unclassified non-coding RNA is filed under the name Hevea brasiliensis (rubber tree). Lineage: Eukaryota; Viridiplantae; Streptophyta; Magnoliopsida; Malpighiales; Euphorbiaceae. The record is from RNAcentral.
AGAAGAUAAGAAGAAUAGCAGCAAGAACAGAGGCGAUGGCAGUAGCUAUAAGUUUAGAUGAAAUAUUUUUGGAUUUGGGUGAAUGAGGAAGGAUAAGAGAAGAAAUAUUAGCAGGAAAAGAAGCAUAAGCAGAAGGUGGUGGAGGAGAAGGGAAAGAGGGGAAAAAGGGAGUGUUGUUAUUAGGAGUAGAAGAAGAAUCAAAAGGGUAUUUAGGAGUAGUAGAGGAAGAAGGUGGAUAUGAAUCUUGUGGGAAAAAUGGCUGAUGAAGAACACGGCGGUUCUUGGCAGAGACAGCGACGGAGAAGAGGAGGAGGAAGAUGAAGAAAGAAGGAAGCAUGAUGAUGGAGAGAGAGAAUGUAGGUAAGCUAAGCUAGAGAGAGAGAGGGGUAGAAAUGCAUCAAAGAUAGAUAUGCAUGGAUUUGGAGAGUAGGAGGACUAA